CCUACGGGCGGCUGCAGUGGGGAAUUUUCCGCAAUGGGCGAAAGCCUGACGGAGCAAUACCGCGUGAGGGAAGACGGCCUAUGGGUUGUAAACCUCUUUUUUCAGGGAGGAACAAAAUGACGUGUACCUGAAGAAUAAGCAUCGGCUAACUCCGUGCCAGCAGCCGCGGUAAGACGGAGGAUGCAAGUGUUAUCCGGAAUCACUGGGCGUAAAGCGUCUGUAGGUGGUUUGUUAAGUCAACUGUUAAAUCUUGAGGCUCAACUUCAAAUCAGCAGUCGAAACUAUCAGACUAGAGUAUAGUAGGGGUAAAGGGAAUUUCCAGUGGAGCGGUGAAAUGCGUAGAUAUUGGAAAGAACACCGAUGGCGAAGGCACUUUACUGGGCUAUUACUAACACUCAGAGACGAAAGCUAGGGUAGCAAAUGGGAUUAGAUACCCAAGUAGUC
This 444-nucleotide ribosomal RNA is filed under the name uncultured bacterium. RNAcentral describes it as "bacterial SSU rRNA". It matches the Rfam family "Bacterial small subunit ribosomal RNA", at positions 338 to 795 of the family's 1533-position model. The record is from RNAcentral.